Molecule: long non-coding RNA, 396 nt
Filed under: Zea mays
Lineage: Eukaryota; Viridiplantae; Streptophyta; Magnoliopsida; Poales; Poaceae
Description: long non-coding RNA (ZMAY_LNC002219)
Source: RNAcentral
CGGCCCUCCCCAGCUCGCCGUCGUCUCUAAUCGGUCUCUGUCUGUCGUGUGUCGUCUGGGUGGCCCCCGUGUUCUCCGGCAUCGGGCUCCGGUAGCACAGGUAAACCCUAACCCUAACCCUAACCCUAGAUCUUUCGUAAACCCUAACCCUAACCCUAACUGUAUAAUGUUUUGAUCUUUUGUAGGUCAGUUGCUGAUGCCUCGUCUUCCUCCUCUGGGGUAGAUCGGGCACGGCGACUGCGUGCUCCGUUGAGGGACGGUGCUGGAGAUCGGCCGUCCGCGGUGAAGGUCGCCAUGGCGGAUGAUGACGAUGUCAAUCCGGUCACCGGCAACGACGACCUUCGCGCGGCAGGGCUUGUCCCAGAUGACGAAGACGACAUCCAGGCUGACGCUGCU